This 1636-nucleotide long non-coding RNA is filed under the name Gallus gallus (chicken). Lineage: Eukaryota; Metazoa; Chordata; Aves; Galliformes; Phasianidae. The record is from RNAcentral.
GCCAUUUGUCACUCACCUGGAAGACAUAACUGUAGUUUUUCCACAACUGUUGUAAUAUUCCUUUGCUGAACUCUACAUCGGAUGAUUUCCUCUGUUUGGGCUAUCACCUCUUUCCCAGCAUCCUGAAGCCUUCGGUUGGUAUCAGUAACUUGGACCUUUAAUUUUUCUGCAUCAGCUCUAACUUUAAGAAGUUCUGUGAUAGCAUCCACAAAGCCCUGAUGGUGAAAAUUGCACAUCUUUUCUAUCUCCCUGUCAUGGUUACGUAUGCAGGCAUCUAGUUUUUCCAUAAAUCUCUGAUGUGCAUUUGGUUGGUCAUCAUAUACAGACCUCAGGGUGGGCCCGACGCAGGCCGUGUCCGUGCUCUCGAUCUCCUGCAGGAUCCGAUCAUGCUCCGGGAGGCUCUCCGCCAUCUUGGAUGGGAGGGACCCGGCAGCCGCGCCGCUGCGGGAGGCGCCGGGGAGGGACCGAGGGCGGGGGCGGCCGCGGAGCCGGGCGGGGGGUACCGGCAGCAGCGCCGUGCCGCCCGCGCCAGGGCGAGGUCCCGCUGCCUGAGCCCCGAGCUGCUCCGGCGGCGCCGACCUCCGCCCCCGCAGCCCCUCACGGCGGACGCGCAGCGCGCGGCUCGUCCCGGAGAGGGGUGACGGGCUCAGGAGCGGCCUUUCUGCAGCGGGGAGCUCUGCUCUGCUUGUUGGGCCUCGGUUUGUUUGUUUACUCACCGCGUUGGCUCUUUGUUUAUUUGUUUGUUUGAGCUCCCGAACGCUGAAAACACUGCCUUUCAGUGUUCCUUUCAGGAAGCUGAUCUGGUGCACUGCAAACGGGCGUCAUGGUUCUGCAUUGCUGCGGCUUGUGUGCUAGUGUCCUUGGGCACCAGUGCCACAAAACCUCCUUUUUCAGUCAAGUAGGAAUAGCUCAUCUUCUAUUUAAAUCGCACGUACUGCGGUCUGUGGCCAAAGAUGAGCGAGCCCUUGUGUCUGCAUGCUCAAGAGACAGGAUACACCUGUGCUCUUGUCUGUGCAUGGCUAGGAAGCCAGCUUAAAGCAAUGGGCCUUACAUGUAAAGCUCCAGCGUGACGCACAGCCGCUUUUCAGUGAGAAGCAGACAGCCGUGUGCAAGCUGAGAACAGCUAAGCCCAGGCACCAGCCAGCUACAACAGCAUUAGCUAUGCUUUCAAGCACUGUAGUCAAACUCAUCACUCUCCUGCACCACUGUGACUACACCCGGACGCUAGCUAAUAAAUGGCACUGUACUGCUUGUCCGUGCUUGUGGUUUUAUCAUACACAGAUCUGACUCAACUGAAUGUGUUGAUGACACCUACUGAAACAGCAAGCAGUAUUUUAUAUGUAGACAACACAAAGUGUGUUCUGCAGAAAGAAAAUUGGGGAAAGUCCUACAGGGUAUCACUGCAGUAGUAUUUCCUUUAAGAAAUGCAGUAACGAUCUUCCCACAUUCCUUCUUUUCUCCCUCAGCCCCACACUCCCCCAACAACAAACUACUCAAGAAAUAGAUUGACAUAUACAUUUUUCAGGGUAAAUGACAUUCUCUUUCUUUAGCCUGGUAGUCACCGCAACCUGAUGCCCACAGCCCCAGGCGGGCUAUUUUUAAAGCUCUUCUCCAGCUACUGACAAUAUACUUAGGC